CCCGUCGAUCCUAGGCCAGAAGACGCCAACGCUUGUCAUGGGCCGGCGCUCGAUCCGUAGAAGCUCUCGCGCGCUCCGUCGAUCCAUCCUCGCGCGCGCUCCUCGGUGCUCACACGCUCGCCAUCGAUCCGUCCUCGGUCCUCAGCGCUCGCGUCGUGGUCCCAGGACCAGAGGCCAGCGCGGAGGCUGGCGCGAAGGCCGGCGCAAAGGGAGGGGAGCAGCGAUAGAGGUGCCGCUCGCGGCACAGAGGCCAUCGGCGAGGCUGUUCGAUGAAAUGGACCCUACAAAAGAGUCACUUUCUUAGUUGAUGAGCAUACAUGUACAUCUAGCAGUAGGAUCAGGACUACUAUGGCUUCUAAGGCUUGUGUGGCUGAUAAGGCAUUAUAUCUCCUCAUGAAGACCCCAAUACAGGUGCUAAAGCAAUACAGAAACAGUUGCAGGA
Molecule: long non-coding RNA, 442 nt
Organism: Phragmites australis (common reed)
Lineage: Eukaryota; Viridiplantae; Streptophyta; Magnoliopsida; Poales; Poaceae
Exons: 2
Source: RefSeq, a predicted model, not a curated record